UCCCAAUUGCUUCCAAAUAUCACGACUGAACAUGUCUACUAAUCGCAACAGACUUUUAGUGUGGUUGUCAGUACCAGCAUACAGCUUGAUGUCAUCUAAGUUCAUCAAGUCUAUCAGUCUGAACUUAGCACGUAGGCCAUAAUUUAUUGCAAAACCAUACCAUCUAGCAUCAUUCAGUGGCCAUGAAAGCGAGUUCAGUCCCAUACAAAACCAAACGGGACUCAACUAAUCCCCCUGGGAGAUGCCCCUCUAUAGACGGCUAGGCUCUGAGGUAUUGGUAUCCUCAUAUAUACGCAUUGAUAAGGGGUUAUGCCACCCUUCCAUGACUGUCGCCAAAAACUUUAUCAGUUUCGGAUCAAUGCGAUGCAGAUGUAAGACAUCGGUUAGCUAGGUAUGCGGACCGCUGUCGAAAGUUUUGGCAUAAUCGAUAUAGCAACUAAAGAGGUUUCUUUGGCCUCUAGUUGUCUUGUCCUACAACUAUUGCGUGGAUAAUGAGUUGCUUUUUGCAACCCUUUGACCCAACUCUCCAGCCCUCCUGCUCCUCGGACAGAAUGUUGUUGGUCUCAAGGUGCACAUUGCCCCUCCACUAAUAAUGGACGUUAUGAAUUUGUAGAGGGUUGGUAAGCAAGUAAUCGGUCUUGUGUCUGCGGGGUCCUGCACCGUGUCCUUCUUAGGAAUAAGGUAGGUAAUUCACGCAGGGAGGAAGGGUCGAAAUUCCUCCGGCUGACUAAUGACCAGAUUUAUGAUAUGUACCAACCGACUGUGUAUACUGGUAAAUUUGUUAUACCAGAAAUUCUGCACCCGAUCCAGAACAGGACCCCUCCAGUUCUUCGAGCUGUUUAUGACUCGUCGAACUUUCUCUUCGGUAACAUCCGCAAAAUUCAUGCCGGGCGUAGUGGCAUGGUGGGUGUCUUCGGCGGUGAUCCACUCAGCAUGCUGGGCGGGUAACCCUCAAAGUCCACCCCAGUAUUCUUUCGUUUCCGUUACUGAAAACUGUGAUAUUUGGAAGCUCUGUUGGGAUUCGUUGAGAAAUCUGAAAAAGCUCUUCUGGUUCCUCGCGUAUGUUGCAUUCUGAACACGUCUGAAGUGACUUUCGCCGUACCGUCGUAACUGACUGCAUAUGAUAGAAAGUUUCUGCUGCGUGUUCAGAAUUUCAACUACGGGUGUCUCAAUGGGGAUGGCAUAGUUUCUGCAGUUUAUUUCUCACCCGUCUGAUGGCAUUGCCAGUGCUAAUCUAGCAAUCUAGCAAUGUCCUGCCUUAGUGAGUCCCACCAAAGUUUUUCAUUGAUUAUUGAUUUACAAAUGACCAUUUCUAUUUUUAUUUUGAUAAUUUUAUCCACAAAACCCUCUGAUCUUUUAAACUUUCAGAAGUUAUUAAAUUUAUUUAAAUAUUUUCAAUUACAAAAAAGAACCUUUGGAACAUUUAAAAAAUGACCAUUAACCUUUUUUUAUUAUUAUUUUCAUCAUAGACGUGAUUAUGCUAUGUAUUAUUAAAUUGAUUUCUAACACUUGUUUUUGGCUAAGGCGAAAUGUUAUGCAUGCAAAGGUGAAUGUUAAGAUAUUGCGGGGAUUUUUGUUGUUAAAUAGAGGCUGGUUCGAUGAAGGAUAGCUUGACACAAAACAUGGGAAAAUUUCUGUCUGAGCGGCUUCAUUGCCCGAGUCAAAGUUAGCGAAAUGCUGGGUAGCUGAUUAAUGAUGUUUCGAGGGCUGUUUUGUAUCAUUUUUGGUAGGAGUUCUUUCGCUUGGUGUAGAGAGUGCACUUGUAAUGUUAAAAGUGUUUCUUUGUUCUGAUUUGUUUUCUCGGAUAGACUUUUGGCUUUCUGUUCCGUUCAAGUGGAGAGUCAUUCUUUUGGUUCGAGGAAGGAGAGCCUGAGGAGUCUGGUGGGUUGGUUUUUGGUUGCAGGGAGUUUUGGAUGCAAUGCGAAGUGGUAACGAGGAGUUUCCAAUAUUGAAUGAGUAAUGAGUAAUGAGUAAUGAGUAAUGAGUAAUGAGUAAUGAGUAAUGAGUAAUGAGUAAUGAGUAAUGAGUAAUGAGUAAUGAGUAAUGAGUAAUGAGUAAUGAGUAAAUGAUGUUUGGUCUCCAGGAGUUUAGGGAUUCGUUUGUUCCAGAAAGAAAUACCAGAAAUGUAAGGGAAUAUUAUCCAUGUGAAAUCCGGGGAAAUAUAAUUGAGUGAGCUAUGAAAUUUAACGAUGUUACAGUUUAAAACUAUUCGAUUAGAAGUCAGGUUAUGUUCGAAUAUCCAGAUCACCCGUAAGAUUAUCCCUGUUAGAAUUGUUAUGAACUGGAUUGGAAGCAUUAAGGAAAAAUGAUGUUAGGCUUAUUCACUGUUCUAUAAACCGUACUUUCUGUGUUUGAAUUUUGAUCUUCGUUUUAUUAUAUUGAAUGUUGAUUACUUGACUAACGUAUACGUAAAUUCUGAAACCUACUCCGUAGUUUAUAUAUUUGGGAUGAUGAAAAUUGAAUAAUUGAGAUAACAACAUAUGCGUCCUUUACCACCAUACGAGCAUUUUCUCUCUGCAAGUGGCAUCAGGUUACAUUUCUCCAUUAGCGAGAAUACACGCAGAAAGAAAAUAAACCUGUCUAUGAAUAUGCUUCAUUUCAUCCCUUCAAUUCAAAGAAAGAUUUCCUGAAAUAGGUAAUAUGAAGGGGUCAGCCUUUGAUUUGAGGACUCCUUCUUCUCUUUCUUUCAACAUACACUGGUCAUAAGGUGAAUCUGCCAACAUCAUGACCUGAGAAUACCAAGGCUGGGUGUGAACCUUAGAGGCUGCGGACAUCUGAGGCAGGCGAAGAAGCAUCGGUUGAGGAUGUGAUCCGUCACGGAUCUUCCGUCUCGAUAAAGUCACUCAGUUCACAAGUUUUAGGGCUUCACGAGGUAGAGCGGUUUUUUUAUUUUAUGUUCCGCAAGGUUCGCGCGAUAUUCCUUUGCUUGUUUUGAUUAUUCGGUUCCGGGACCGGGAUGGACCCACACAUCAGUUUAAGGAGAAAGGAAGUUUUAUACAAUGACACCUGAGCACUCUCUUAAAGUUUUCAAAAGGAUCUGUCACAUUUCCGAGCUUGACUAACACUGAAGCUUGUAAUCGUGUAUCAAUGGAACACUGUUGAGGCUCAGUAUUGGUGAGUGGACUUUCACUGUCAAUUUUUUUAGGUUUCUUGGGAUAACUCUUCUCAAAUCACCCAGGAUGGUCCUCCGACUACCGAAUAACUUUUAGUUAUUACAAACGUGUACUCUAACCGAAAAUUAGAGCGAAAUAUCUGGAUUUGAACUAGAAAUCCGCCAGGGGAUACUGCUCAAUGGAUAGAUUGAAUAUCCAACCCUUGCCUUUUCAGCGUCUACAGAAACUGGAUUAGAAAUUGCAAUAUAUUGAAGAUCUUGAGCAAGAAGUGCUCGGUGAAAUGGAUUUUGGACCAGCAAGAUUUUAAUGUUGGGGGCGAAGCCGAUAAUAUGAGCAACAUUAAUCCUGGGUAUUAAAAUUUUUUUGUCGAUAACUGAUCCUCUGAAUUAUCAUUAGUUAAUCGGAUAUGGGGCCUUCUGUAAGGAUAUUUGAAAGAUGAUAGCUCAACAUACCGAUACCCCGGGUAUCGGAGUUGGUGGUGGCUUUUCGAAGACGGGGGGGAUUUGUUCAGCUGAACGUAUAUAUGUCAUCCUUCGAUUCUUAUAUUGCUUCUAUUUCACAAUCUUUUCUUCAAAUUACCCAUUUCGUUUCUUUUGUUGGGUAUAUUUUUUUUUAUCAAAACAAGUACGGUAUUUCGGGAAUCAGUUUUUCCUUGCUCAAAACUGGGUAUUUCGGGAAUCAGUUUUUCCUUGUUCAAAACUGGGGAAGGGAAAAACUAAUUCCCGAAACACGGCAUUUGAGGAAGGGAAAACUGAUUGCCUAAACAUGGCAUCUAACGAAGGGAAAACUUAUUCCCGAAAUACUGUAUUUGUUUUUAUAAAGGAAGCUUUCUUCUUUUCAGAUAAUAUUUUCUUAUCAUGUUGAAUUGAAACGUUUCAGUUUCCAGUAUCUAAAAUAAAAUAGCAAUGUUAAGCCUUUCUUCAAUUCUUUUGUCCUAUUUUGAGAGUUUAAGUCAAAUUAAAAUUCCCUCAAAUAUUCUAUGAAGUAUCCUUUUUCAUUCCUAUACAUUUCAGUUUUCUGUUCAUAUUUAUCUCUCAAUGAAUUGCAAAUUCAAUGAUAUAUAUUUAUUCAGAUUGAAAGCACGAUUACUGUUUCAAAAGUUUUCGUGGAUAAAAGUGGUUUGAAAUGCUGAUGGGCUGAAAAGGAUAAAAAAGUUAGAAUUAUGAAUUAUUUUUAAAAUUUCAUCAAAACAAAAUAUUAAAGGCACUCGUUCUAGGAAGUAUGAAGGGGGAUGUUAUUUUCAUCUAUUUUUUACAUAAAAUAAAAUGUGAUAUUCCAGAAAUAGAUAUUUAUCUAUUCAACAAAAGUAAAUAUUUGCGUGUUAAUUAGGGUUUGGGUAAAUUUCAAACUUUUGGCAAAUUACAUUCUGAAGGCACGUUAUAUUUCGACAACAAAAGGAUAAUUUUCGAAGGCAUUCAACAGACAAACUAAGCAGAUAAUAGCAUCCCUUAAAUAUUCAAGUUUAUAAUCGGAGGCAAAUAUUCGUCGUCAAGUAGCAUCCGUUGGAAGUGGGGAAAUCUUAUUAAAUCGAAUAAAAUUCCAAAAAUAGAUUCUGAUAGGGAGGCUCUAAUGAGGUUAUUCAUUAUUGAGAGAUUUUGAAAUAUCUGAGCAUUUUAUUACUGAAUAAUUCCUUAUUUAAUUGGAGGUCUGAUGAGGGAUGAAUUGUUAAUUUCAGGGCGGUUAUUGUUACGUGGGAUCACGCAGCAAAGGUAAUUAAAUCGUAGGAGAAGUGCUUUCUAAAUAGAAGGAAAUUCUUCACUUUUGAAAUGAGACUUAUUUUUAAGUUUAAAUAAGAGGGUAUUUGGGGUAACAUCUCAUUUGUUUCAUCAUGAGACUACCGAAGCUCUUUAUUUCUUGAGAGUAGACCAUAAUUCUUCUUAUUCUAAGAUCCUGACUUCAGUUUUAAUGAUGAAUUGUUGCUAGCAACCCCUCAAUGAAUUCUAGCCAAUUUCAGCAGGUUCCAUCUAAAGAAAGUUCUUUGGAUGAAAGUGGUAGGGUUCGAUGGUAUUUCUUGGGAAAUAGUUUGUGUAAACAUAUAGUGAAGGUUCUCCUCUUAUUUUUGCUAGUAAAUACAAAUAUUCAAAAUUAACAUUAGAUACCGUCGAAAUCUGAAGAAGCCUUCAAAGGCGCUAAUUGGAAACGUAUGAAGUCAAAUGCAAUAACCAACAAAUAGGAUAGGAGGCCUUUUAAAUUGGGGUUAUCUUUUCACUCAGGAUUGAGGAAUUGGUUCCAUCGAAUUUAAUAGGCAAUAAUAAAUAGAGUCAUUCAAAAUCCCCUCCGUUUGCGCUUACACACUUCUUUAAACGUUUGGGCCAUUCGUCUAUCUCCGCGUGUACUACUUUUAGUGGUAUUGUGGCUGCUAUCGCAGCAAAUCGGCUUUUAAUCCUUAAAUAUUCCGGUGACAUUUAGAGCAGGUCCUCUCUUCUAAUGUGUUCCACAACUGGUAGUUUAAAGUAUUGAGAUCAAGACUACCUGAAGGCCAAUCUUCAGAAACGACAAAGUUGGGUAAAUUAGCACCAAACUAACGUUGAAUCGACUUCGCUUUAUGUGCUGGGAUUAAGUUCUACUGGUAUAUCUAGUGCGUUCCUUCGAAUAGGGAGCUAUUCAAUGGUAUUUAGAAGUUCGAGUUUUGAACACUUAUUCGCAAAAAUCCAACUGAGUGACCAUUUCAUACGACACUCCCCACCAAACCAUUAUGGGGGCCGGAUGACGUCCUGGUUCUACUUUGUGAAUCUUUUCUCUAGUUUUCCGAAAACUGCGUGCAUAUAUCUUAUCAUUUUGACAGUUAAAGUUCUCCAUUGAAAAUUGUUUCAUCUGUGAAGAGAAUUGGUUGGUUACGGCCGUGCAUCUGUCAAUAGAAUAAUUGCUCCGCUCUCGUGCCUCUUAUUUGACGCAAGGUUUGUGUCUAGUACUUGUUUGGUAACCCCCAAGCUUAAGCUCAUCUUCUAAGAUGCGUGGCAUGGUUCUGGGUGUAAUUUUCAUCCCGCGAACCAUGUUUUUUUGUUUUCGAAUUGGAUUUCUGCGAAUUGUUUUGGCAAUUGCUGUGCUCUCACGUGGGUGGCCGCAUCUGCGUCCAUUUUUAACAGAAGAGAUCUCAUUAUACCUUUUAAAAUAUUGCCAAACGAAUUGCUUCGUUAUUUUUAUGCCGGCUCCAUUUGCUAGGAAAUGGUCUUUCAUUUGUCCGAGAAAUCGACACUCGACCGGAUCGGUUGUAAGCGCUUGUAAAUCUGCGAAAAACUAAGCCAAACAUUCUGUCGACAGGUUUAAAUUUGCGAUAGUUUGGCGAAAUUUGGCAGAAGCGGACACUUGUCAAAGAACAGACCGCAAGCAGCUAGCAGUUGGGUUGUCUACGUUUACAGAGCGGGAGGUACACAGAAAGCGAUGAAGAAGCGGCAAUGCAUUUGCCUGUAGUACACUUUCUAGGCAGCAUCCGAAAUCUUAUCUCGUGGUUGACAAAUACAUACAGCCCUCAACCAGAAGAUUGGGCUUUGGCAUGCAAAGUAGUUUCACUGGAGCGAGUAAAAUGGGCAUUUAACUCGUUCCAUAGGUACAAGUGUGCAGAUCCGGAUGGCAUUCUUUCUCGUCUAGUAACAGAAAAAUGGAUGCCCUGGGUCCACACGUUCGGAGUGUAUACCGUGCUUGCCUCGCACCCACUCAUACUCAAACGAGCUGGCGUGAUAUGAAGGCGAUAUUUAUUCCCAAACUAGGGAAAACCACCUACAUAAACGCAAAAAGCUUCCGACUCAUCAGUCUAGCUUCUUUUCUGCUAAAAGGACUGGAAACACUAGUAGAUCGGCUCAGAAGGGAUACAUAUAUCCCUAGGUGGUCAUUUCACUGUAGGGAACAAGCCUUCCAGAAGGGCAAAUCCACGUAGACAAAACUCCAUGAACUAACUGAAAAAAUUGCGAACACAAUGUUCGAUAAAGAAAACGCCUUAGGCGUAUUCAUGGACAUCGGAGGCACCUUCAAUUAGCCCUCAUUCGCGGCAAGACAGCAUGGAAUGGAUCCGCUGUUAAUCAGUUGGAUCCUUCACAUGCUAGAGUGGAAGAAGAUCCUUAUAUUGGUCGGACAGAAGUUUAUUGAGUCAGGAUGCCUUAGGGCUUACCCACAGGGAGGGGUUCUCUCUCCGCUGUUAUGGCUUCUAGUUAAGUACACCUUGCUAAGGGUCUUCGCACAACCAUUUGCGGACGAACUAGCCGCAAUAAUUAUCGGCAAGUUUUCGGGCACAGCAUGUGACCGCCUGAAUGCACAUGGACAGUUUGUGCCUCCAUAAUAGGUUAGAGAGACUGGACUAGUUGUGUUCAGUAAGAACGUCAAGUGGGGCAGUUACACACUACCCACUUUAGCAGGGGCGGAAAUCCAGCUGGUUCGAACAGUCAAAUAUUUAGGAGUACAUCUCGACUCCAAGUUAACGUGGAAGUACCAUUUCCAGAAACAAUACCAGACAUCUUGCACAUCGCUCUAAUGUAGGACUGCCAUAGGUAAGAUCUGGGGACUUUCACCAAAACGGAUUCACUGGAUGUAUGCAUCCAUAAUAAACCCCAUUUUGAUAUAUGCAUGCAUCGUCUGGUGGUCGAGACUUAUCUCUGCUAAUAGCAGGAAGCUGCUGACGCAGAUUUAGAGGCUCGGUAGCUUAAGUAUUACUGGAGCAAUGAGUACUACGCCGACCAUGGCCCCCGAAGCAAUUGUAAAUUUAGCCCCAAUACAUUUGGAGGUGAUAGUAUUGGCCCCUGGAAAGGUGGCCAAUCAUACGCUCAUGUGUUCAUCUGGAAAUUUCUUGGCAAACAUUAAGUGGCUCUGAUGACCGUCGAUCAUAUGGUUUCCAGAUUCGUCUUUGAAAACACAUAUUCCGUCGUAAUCACCAAAAGAGAAGAAUGGUCGAUAGAUGACCACGAGUCUUUUGGAAUUAUAGACUUAAUAAACUUCACUGACGGAUCAGUGAAGGAAAACGGAUCGGUCGCAAGGGUCUUCUCGGGAAAGUUCCGAUUAUGGAGCUGACCCGACUUCUCGGAAAAAUGAGGACCAUAUUUCAGGCGGAGAUAUAUACCAUUUUAUUGGCAGCUGCAGAAUGCUUGCGGGAAAAGUGGAUGGAUCAUUUUCGCAUAUCGGCGUGAAACCAGUAGCGUCGACGUCACUAACUUCCAUUUCUUCCAGUGUUUGUGCUUCCGGUAAGGUUGAAGGGGAAGGUUAUAAUAGGCCUACUAGAAGUAACUUUAAGAAUCUGUAAUCUGUAGAAAGCUUGAAAAAACUGCUCUACUCUAGACAGCCUUUACGGCAGAUUAUUUAGUUCUUUCAGGGAAUGCCAACAGCAUUGCUUUGGCAUUGUGGUCGCUGCUCUGACGAUAGUUGUUUGUGCUAGUGGAUCUUCAGAAUAGCUGUCUUAUAGAUCCCGUAACUUUGCUUAGGUCUCCAGGAAAACUUGCCACCUGCUCUACUGUCACUUUUUCAAUCAUUUUUGAAGAAGUAGCCGACCCUCGUAUUCGAGCGCUUCUUCAAUAUAACUACUGGAAGUAAUCUCUCCCACAGCCAGUUAAGCAUGACGUACAACACCGCAUCUGCGCUACUGGUUCCCAUAUCUUCUGGAAGGUGGGUCCAUUACCACCUGUUGCUGUUGCUAAGAAAGAAUUCGACACACUUUUAAGGCAGGGUAUUUGCAGGCCAUCGAUUAGCUGCUGGUCUUCUCCACUACACAUGGUCAAAAAGUUCAACGGCGCAUGGAUACCAUGUGGCGAUUAAAGACGUCUGAAUGCUCAAACUGCUAUCCUAUAGCAAUCAUCCACCACUUUGUGCAGUCAACUACUGCCGCGUUUUCACGAUCUUGGACUUAGCUAAGUCGUACCAUAAAAUAAAUCCCUGUAGCUCCAGAAGAUAUACCGAAAACGGCUUUACCCACACCCUCCGGACUCUUAGAGCUCACACGGAUGCCUUUUGGUCUGUGCAAUGCGGUGGAUGAUGGAUGAUGUUUUGGUAGCCUCUUCUUCAGAGUCAGAGCAUUUGGAACAUCUUGAAUCCAUUUUUCAAUGUCUCCUUGAGGCCGGUCUUGUGCUUAACGUUGAAAAGUGCAAACAGCAUGUGAAGUUUUUAGGUUACAUGAUUUCUCUUGAGAGAGUUCAACCGGAUCCAGACAAGGUUCAGGCCAUCAUAGACUUUCCUCAAUUUAAAAUGGUCAAGAAUCUGUUAAGGUUUUUGGGCUCAACAUCAGGCUGAUGAUCUGCAGAGGCAUUUGAGCUAGCCAAAGACAGCUGGCGGAUGCUACACUCCUGCCAUUUCCUCAAUCAGAUGCAUCCCUAAACAUUUUCGUCGAUGCCUCAGACAUUCUGCGCCAUUCUGCCAUGAAGGCUAACACCUCCAAGGAGGUGAAUGUCUCCACACACGUAUUGCUUUGUGUAGAUGUUUCCCGGAGGUCCUUGCAACCACCAUAAGAAAUGUUGAACAGGGGGAACACUUUUUCUGGCUUGACGUCGACGGCAGGCCAAAGAAUGUUUCCGUCUUCAGGCUGAAGCCGUUUGUUACCGAGGCUGAGGUCUCGGAGAAGAAAGGUGCGCAGCACGUGAGAUGAGAGAGAGACGUGAGAUGGUGGGCAAAAAGCCGGGUUUUAUCGCUGAAACCCAGUAUCAGUUGGGGUUGGGGUUGUGUAGAGCCGCUUAGCAGAGAUUCGUCCAAGCUCCACACCAGGUUAGCAAGACUUACCACGGCUGAAAGCUCACCCGCCUGAGUGUCUUGUCUACCCCUUGAUGGCAGGUUGACAGCUGCGAAGCCGGCGAAUCAAAUAAUAAGUUGGUGAUAAACCAAAGUAUGACCUAAGUUUGAUGCAUAUGCAAGCGAUAAAACUCUUGCUAUCUGAGGGGACGAAAAUUCGCCGCUUUAGCUAGAAUUUGGCCAAUAUGUGAUGCUGGAAUGAUAUUAUCUAUUCGUGUAGAGUCAAGGGAAAUACCAAUCUUAUUAUUAGAAAAUGUGUAUCACUCAAUCUAAAAUAUAAUAUUCAAAAGCUAUUUUAAGCAGGCACUUACAGCACACGUACAACCACUCAUCAUUCCUAUCACAUUCCUGAUAUUCGAUGCGCAUUAUUUAUGGUGAUGAUGCUUUUGCAAUUGACAUUCCUCUGACAUGUUAUCGAUACUAAAUUAUGCAUUUAUUUCAAUAUUUAUAGCAUUUUAUGUGUGGAGUGUAAAUUGAUCUGCUUUUUCUUUCUCCCCCGCCUGUCUCUGUCCUUCGUCUGAAAGGUGUGUCCGAUAAGGUAUGUAAACCUCUAAUUGUCGCUAGCGGAGACAUAAGGGCAUGAGAUCAAAGAUAGAAGUGAAUGGAGGUAAUUUAAAAUGCUUCACACAAUUUUCAUUGGCUUUUAUUGGAAAAUGCUGUCAUUUUACGAAUUGAAAGAAUAAAAUUUAUUUUUGUCGGAAAUGGUUUAUGACUAUAAAAAUCGUUUUCAUGUUGUAUGAAUAAUUGGAGACGAGCCAAUUUCCAUUGUUGGAGAUAGGUAAUGGAAGACGUGAAUAGAUACAAUAUGACACCAUUGGAUUUUAUUAAUAUUAAUAACAUACCUCCGGGGAAUGAAAUGAUUGGAGCCAUACAUACUGAGACAGAGUCAACAAUUAACUGGAAAAAUCGAGAUGUUAUUAUUCUAGUAUUACUUCUUACCUAAAUACACAAUUCUAAAUCAAAUCUAAUUAUAUUAUAUGAAACGAUAAUUAUUAUUAUUAUUAUUACUAUGACUAUUACUGAAAAAUAUGAAAUUAUAUAGAGAAAUUUGAAUAAAAAGAAUAAAACAACCAGUGUAUGAACUGUACAAGAUAUUCUAAAUAAUCUAAAACAAAAUGAAAUCAUAAUAUGAGUGUUACCAUUUAAAGGAAACCAAAAAGUAACAACAAAGUAAGUAAGGUAUGAUUAUAUACAUGCAAGCGAAUCGCACUUACUACUAAAUCUAAGAGUAAAAAUGAAAACAAUAGCAAUCAAUACCCUAAAAAGAGGAGAGCAAAAAAGUUUUUAAAUAAAAUGAAUUUUUCUUUGGUAAACCAUCAAGAAAUCCAUAAAUGACAAAAACAAAGACAACUCAUGAUUACCUUACUCCAAACCGAAAUCAAUGGAAAGCAACAAAAUAAAUUAUAUCAGAGAAUAGUUGUUUUUAUUUCUAGAGCAACAAUAAAAAAUUCGGAGAGUGAAAUCUUUCGAUGGAAACGUAACAUAGAUCAUAUACACACAUUCAAUUCUAAAUAGCCAAAUAACAAAGUAAAUAAAAAAUAAUUAAAGUGUUACUUGUUCAGCUCCUAAACUCCAUAGGAUCGAUCAUAAAUCGAUAGGCUAAAUAUCUGGUCAUCGAUAGUUUGCUAAGUUGAAAUAAAUUAAGAUAAAAAAAAAAUGUCAAGAUAAAGGAAAUAUUGUAACAAAUUUCAUUACUAGCCUGAACAAAUAAUUCGACAUAUUUUACAUUUCAAAUUGACGUAAGUAAGUAUAUAUAUUAAAAGAAAAAAGUGAAAGUAAAAAUUGUGUAAUAUAAAAAUAUCUAAACGCUUUAUCAAUAUUAUUAAAAAUUUACUGAAUUAAAAUCAAUAGAGAAAAAGAAAGAAAAAAAAUAAAUAAAAGAAAAGAGAAUUUUAUAAAAACAAUUUAAGAAACAAAACAUAUAACACAAAACAAUGAAUGAGGAAAAGAUCAGACAUACAUAAAAAGAUACAAUGAAGAUUCCUUACUUUCGACAUGUAGACUAAUAAAAAAACAAUGCUGCAACAACAAUUGAAUCCAAAUUAAGAGGGAUUACAUUAUUUUUUUUUGCCUCAAAUUGCCUGUUAAUCCACAAAAACCCUUUAUACAAGUUGUUCCCAUCGUUAAAAUUAAAUUAAUAUUCAAACUUUGUUGCACGAUUUCAAUUAAAAUUCUCGAGAUCAUGGGAAAAAUAUUGACACAAUAACAAAAUUAUAUUUGUAUGCAAAUGACAAUUUUUGGAAGAAUAUAAAUGCGAAUAAACAUGGAUUUGAUAGGUAUGAAAUAAUAUAAAUUAAAAGCCUUAAUUUCAAUUUAAGGUUGCUUUGUUUUCUUCUCAUUGCAAAUCUGAAUUUUAUGUAAGGCUUUAUGAAAAUGAAAUUUCGAAUUUAUUGUGUAUGCGAAUAUAAUUUUCCCAAGAAUAAUUUUAAAUGUGAUAACACAUGUAACAAAAACAAAACAAAAAAAAAUCGAGGAUAGAAUUUUAAAAAUAAACUUUUAGCAAAAGUCAUAGAGUA
This is a long non-coding RNA of Hermetia illucens (black soldier fly), 12328 nucleotides long. RefSeq lists it as uncharacterized. NCBI's taxonomy places the organism in Eukaryota, Metazoa, Arthropoda, Insecta, Diptera, Stratiomyidae. The record is from RefSeq and is a predicted model, not a curated record. The transcript has 2 exons.